CAAACAUGAUGGAAAGAAAAAAAUGCAACCCCACCCCACCCAUGUCAACAAAGGCUGAACAGGGAAUCUAGAUUCCACCCGCAACCAGCAGUAAAGACAGAUCCCUCCUCUCCAUGUUGCUGUGGUAUCAGAGGAGGACUAGUACAGGGUCAGGACUUCCACUACUGUGCUUUGUCAGUGGAGACCAUGUGGGGUGCAGGGAUGAGAUAGUCCUGUCCUUCUCAGCCAGUAUUUUACAAUGUUUUGACAUCUUAAAAGCUUGCUGACCAGAGAGACUGUCCCAUCCAGCGAAAGCCAGUUUUCAGAGACAGCAAAGGACUCACUGGGCGUGUCUUUCAAACGCAAACCAACCAAUCUUGGGUACCAGGCAAUUAGAGACCACUCCUACAGCCCCAAACCCUAUGUGUCUCAGAGUGCUUUCGGGCCAAGUGGCCCUACAUGAUGAGCAUCCUUCAUGACUUAGCAAAUAUUUUU
RNAcentral lists this long non-coding RNA (474 nucleotides) under Homo sapiens (human). RNAcentral describes it as "HSALNT0297055". Lineage: Eukaryota; Metazoa; Chordata; Mammalia; Primates; Hominidae. The record is from RNAcentral.